Molecule: ribosomal RNA, 491 nt
Filed under: uncultured bacterium
Lineage: Bacteria
Description: partial 16S ribosomal RNA
Rfam family: Bacterial small subunit ribosomal RNA
Source: RNAcentral
GAUGAACGCUAGCUACAUGCUUAACACAUGCAAGUCGAGGGGAAACGAUGAGAGCGCUUGCUCUCUUCGUCGUCGACCGGCGCACGGGUGAGUAACGCGUAUCCAACCUGCCUCUGACCAAGGGAUAACCCGUCGCAAGUCGGACUCCUACCUUAUGCAUGCGUCGGAAGUCAUCUGAUGACGACGAAAGAUUUCAUCGGUGAGAGAUGGGGAUGCGUCUGAUUAGCUUGUUGGCGGGGUAACGGCCAACCAAGGCGACGAUCAGUAGGGGUUCUGAGAGGAAGGCCCCCCACAGUGGAGCCGAGACACGGUCCAAACUCCGACGGGAGGGAGCAGUGAGGAAUAUUAGGCAAGGGGGGUAAGCGUGAACCAGCCAAGUAGCGGGAAGGAUGACGGCCCUAUGGGAUGUAAACUGCUUGUAUGCGGGGAUAAAGUGAGGGACGUGGCACUCAUUGCAGGUACCGCAUGGGUAAGGACCGGCUAAUUCCGUG